UACGAAGGGGGCUAGCGUUGCUCGGAAUUACUGGGCGUAAAGCGCACGUAGGCGGCUUUCUAAGUCAGGGGUGAAAUCCUGGAGCUCAACUCCAGAACUGCCUUUGAUACUGGGAAGCUUGAGUUCGGGAGAGGUGAGUGGAACUGCGAGUGUAGAGGUGAAAUUCGUAGAUAUUCGCAAGAACACCAGUGGCGAAGGCGGCUCACUGGCCCGAUACUGACGCUGAGGUGCGAAAGCGUGGGGAGCAAACAGG
This 253-nucleotide ribosomal RNA is filed under the name uncultured bacterium. RNAcentral's name for it is "partial 16S ribosomal RNA". It matches the Rfam family "Bacterial small subunit ribosomal RNA", at positions 524 to 776 of the family's 1533-position model. The record is from RNAcentral.